GCAGAGACCAGCUCCCAGGCGGUGGCCCUGGUGGAAGGUUUCCUCCUGAGCCAGGCGGAGGAGAAGAAGAAGAAGACUGACUGGCAGUCCUUCAUGAGGGAGAUCAGAGAUCCUGGGAGGAGGCAUCCAUCAAAUUCACCUCCAGAAAUGUUUUUCAGGAGGAUCUCUCAGAAUGAUCCAAAUCAAGACACGACCAGAGGGAAGAAUAGAAGGAAGCUGGCCCUCCCUGAUGGCGGAGCUGAAACAGUGGUUGAAACUCCAAUUCAAGU
Protobothrops mucrosquamatus (brown spotted pit viper) is the source of this 269-nucleotide long non-coding RNA. RefSeq lists it as uncharacterized. The record is from RefSeq and is a predicted model, not a curated record. The transcript has 3 exons. NCBI's taxonomy places the organism in Eukaryota, Metazoa, Chordata, Lepidosauria, Squamata, Viperidae.